This 406-nucleotide ribosomal RNA is filed under the name uncultured bacterium. RNAcentral's name for it is "partial 16S ribosomal RNA". It matches the Rfam family "Bacterial small subunit ribosomal RNA", at positions 30 to 526 of the family's 1533-position model. The record is from RNAcentral.
AUUGAACGCUGGCGGCAGGCUUAACACAUGCAAGUCGAACGAGCGGCGGACGGGUGAGUAAUGCUUGGGAAACUGCCUGAUGGAGGGGGAUAACUACGGGAAACGGUAGCUAAUACCGCGUACCAUAAGAUGUGCCCAGGUGGGAUUAGCUAGUUGGUGGGGUAAUGGCUCACCAAGCCGACGAUCCCUAGCUGGUCUGAGAGGAUGACCAGCCACACUGGAACGGAGACACGGCCCAGACUCCUACGGGAGGCAGCAGUGGGGAAUAUUGCGCAAUGGAGGCAACCCUGACGCAGCCACGCCGCGUGAGUGAAGAAGGUCUUCGGGUUGUAAAGUUCUUCGUGCGAAGAAGCGUUAUCUACAGAAGAAGCAACGGCUAACUCCGUGCCAGCAGCCGCGGUAAUAC